CAAAGUCACUUUCCUUUCGGGGCAUUGGAGACAGGUGGUGCAUGGUUGUCGUCAGCUCGUGUCGUGAGAUGUUGGGUUAAGUCCCGCAACGAGCGCAACCCCUAUUUCCAGUAGCCAGCAGGUAGAGCUGGGCACUCUGGAGAGACUGCCCGGGAUAACCGGGAGGAAGGCGGGGAUGACGUCAAAUCAUCAUGCCCCUUAUGAUCAGGGCUACACACGUGCUACAAUGGCGUAAACAAAGGGAAGCGAGACGGUGACGUUGAGCAAAUCCCAAAAAUAACGUCCCAGUUCGGAUUGUAGUCUGCAACUCGACUACAUGAAGCUGGAAUCGCUAGUAAUCGCGAAUCAGAAUGUCGCGGUGAAUACGUUCCCGGGUCUUGUACACACCGCCCGUCACACCAUGGGAGUCGGAAAUGCCCGAAGUCAGUGACCUAACCGAAAGGAAGGAGCUGCCGAAGGUGGAGCCGGUAACUGGGGUGAAGUCGUAACAAGGUA
This 495-nucleotide ribosomal RNA is filed under the name uncultured bacterium. RNAcentral describes it as "bacterial SSU rRNA". It matches the Rfam family "Bacterial small subunit ribosomal RNA", at positions 1004 to 1498 of the family's 1533-position model. The record is from RNAcentral.